Molecule: long non-coding RNA, 399 nt
Organism: Rosa chinensis
Lineage: Eukaryota; Viridiplantae; Streptophyta; Magnoliopsida; Rosales; Rosaceae
Exons: 4
Source: RefSeq, a predicted model, not a curated record
UAUUCCUGCCAAGGGAGAAGGAUCCUCUGCUACCACCCCAAAGUCACGAAAGGACUGGACAGGCUUGGGACCUUCUACAAACUACAUAUGAAGGCAACAAAAAGAGGAUGAGCUUGUGGUAUAUGAGCGUUCUGGACUCGUGGGAGGGCGUCCAGGCUUGGGUCAUGCCCAAGAAGCCGCGGGUCGAGUUUUGGGUCCGGCAGUUGGAUAAUUGGAACUUUGUACUCUCUGAAAGCCCGACAUUUUGGAGAAGAGAACGAGAGAGAGAGAGAGAGAGAGAGAGAGAGAGAGAGGGAGAGAGGGAAACACAGACCCAAUAAGAAAAUCUGACUUUUGAGGGUAUUUUGGGAAGUGUAAAAAGACUUGGGAUGAAAUAUUAUUAAAAAAAAUAAAAUGGGG